GACGAACGCUGGCGGCGUGCUUAACACAUGCAAGUCGAACGGAAAGGCCCUGCUUGCAGGGUACUCGAGUGGCGAACGGGUGAGUAACACGUGGGUGAUCUGCCCUGCACUUCGGGAUAAGCCUGGGAAACUGGGUCUAAUACCGGAUAGGAGCCAUUUUUAGUGUGAUGGUUGGAAAGUUUUUUCGGUGUAGGAUGAGCUCGCGGCCUAUCAGCUUGUUGGUGGGGUAAUGGCCUACCAAGGCGGCGACGGGUAGCCGGCCUGAGAGGGUGGACGGCCACAUUGGGACUGAGAGACGGCCCAGACUCCGACGGGAGGCAGCAGUGGGGAAUAGUGCACAAGGGGCGCAAGCCAGAUGCAGCGACGCCGCGUGGGGGAUGACGGCCUUCGGGUUGGAAACUCCUUUCGCUAGGGACGAAGCUUUUUGUGACGGUACCUAGAUAAGAAGCACCGGCUAACUACGUG
This 465-nucleotide ribosomal RNA is filed under the name uncultured bacterium. Its description in RNAcentral is "partial 16S ribosomal RNA". It matches the Rfam family "Bacterial small subunit ribosomal RNA", at positions 28 to 507 of the family's 1533-position model. The record is from RNAcentral.